This is a non-coding RNA of Mycena latifolia, 90 nucleotides long. NCBI's taxonomy places the organism in Eukaryota, Fungi, Basidiomycota, Agaricomycetes, Agaricales, Mycenaceae. The record is from the annotation of a GenBank genome assembly.
GCGCCGGUGGUGUACGGCACACAUCCCAUACUCAUGCGGUUUUUGUGAAAAAGUGAUGGGAAGGCUGGGGUUCGACUCCCCGCCGGUGCA